RNAcentral lists this ribosomal RNA (1023 nucleotides) under Triticum aestivum (bread wheat). RNAcentral describes it as "partial small subunit ribosomal RNA". The record is from RNAcentral. Lineage: Eukaryota; Viridiplantae; Streptophyta; Magnoliopsida; Poales; Poaceae.
AUGCCCCAUACAUUGUGGGGGGGGGGGUUUAAUAUCCUCAGAGAAGCUUGUGAUAAAAAUAAAGCCUUGAAUAGAUCGCAUUAUGUGGAUAAAUUCAACUCCAUUAUAAACUCUUUGAACCUUCGAGAGAUUUAUAUGGGGGGAGGCAAGUAUACAUGGACUAAUAAUCAAAAGCACCCUACUCUGGAAAAACUCGACAGAGUCCUGAUGAGUUUUGAAUGGGAGGACAUCUUUCCUUUGGUCACGGUUCGUAAACUGGUGAGGGAUGUUUCGGACAACAAUCCACUUCUUUUGUCCUCGGGAGAGGAGAGGCAAAAGAACCAUAAUCAGCACGAAUUCAGGUUUGAACUUAGUUGGCUGUGUGACGAGAAUUUUUACCCUAUUGCCAAGGAGAUUUGGGAACAACCUGUCAGAACAAAUGAUCCUAUUGAUAUUCUUAAUAUCAAACUAAAGCGCAUCAAAAAGUACUUUAAAGGGUGGGGCUCAAACAUUUUUGGUGAUGCCAGGAAGAGAAAAAAAGAAAUUAAAAGGGAGCUAGAAGAAAUAGAGAGUAAAGAAGAGGAGAGACCUCUCGACCCUGAGUCAUAUGAGAGGAAAACUAUGCUACAGAUAGAACUCAGCGAGAUUCUAUUCAAAGAAGAGUUAUAUUGGCUGCAGCAGUCCAAUGAACGCUGGCUCUUAAAAGGAGAUCGAAACACAGCCUUUUAUCAUAGAGUGGCUAAUGGCAAAAAGAGGAAAAACACGAUCCAAUCCCUUACAGAUGGGGAUGUUGUGAUCGAGGGGACCACCAACCUGCUAGCUCAUGCCACAGCUUACUAUAAGGAGCUGUUUGGACCUGCUAGAGGGAACCUGUUUCACCUGUCACCUGAUAUGUGGGCUGAGACUGAGAAAUUGACCGAAGACGAUAAUACCCUGCUUACUAGUAAGUUCACUAAAGAAGAGGUGAAAAAAGCUCUUUUCAAUAUGAAGAGCAACCGAGCCCCUGGCCCCGACAACAUACCUGUAGAGUUUUAUAAACAUUGA